RNAcentral lists this ribosomal RNA (489 nucleotides) under uncultured bacterium. Its description in RNAcentral is "partial 16S ribosomal RNA". It matches the Rfam family "Bacterial small subunit ribosomal RNA", at positions 30 to 506 of the family's 1533-position model. The record is from RNAcentral.
AUUGAACGCUGGCGGCAGGCCUAACACAUGCAAGUCGAACGGUAACAGGAAGAAGCUUGCUUCUUUGCUGACGAGUGGCGGACGGGUGAGUAAUGUCUGGGAAACUGCCUGAUGGAGGGGGAUAACUACUGGAAACGGUAGCUAAUACCGCAUAACGUCGCAAGACCAAAGAGGGGGACCUUCGGGCCUCUUGCCAUCGGAUGUGCCCAGAUGGGAUUAGCUAGUAGGUGGGGUAACGGCUCACCUAGGCGACGAUCCCUAGCUGGUCUGAGAGGAUGACCCGCCACGCUGGAACUGAGACACGGUCCAGCCUCCUACGGGAGGCAGCAGUGGGGAAUAUUGCCCAAUGGGCGCAAGCCUGAUGCAGCCAUGCCGCGUGUAUGAAGAAGGCCUUCGGGUUGUAAAGUACUUUCAGCGGGGAGGAAGGGAGUAAAGUUAAUACCUUUGCUCAUUGACGUUACCCGCAGAAGAAGCACCGGCUAACUCCGU